UACGGAGGGUGCAAGCGUUAUCCGGAUUUACUGGGGUUAAAGGGUGCGUAGGUGGGUUGGUAAGUCAGUGGUGAAAUACUUUCGCUUAACGAAGGAACUGCCAUUGAUACUACCAGUCUUGAAUACAGUGGAGGUAGGCGGAAUGCGUCAUGUAGCGGUGAAAUGCUCAGAUAUGACGCAGAACACCAAUUGCGAAGGCAGCUUGCUACACUGUUAUUGACACUGAGGCACGAAAGCGUGGGGAUCAAACAGG
This 253-nucleotide ribosomal RNA is filed under the name uncultured bacterium. RNAcentral's name for it is "partial 16S ribosomal RNA". It matches the Rfam family "Bacterial small subunit ribosomal RNA", at positions 524 to 776 of the family's 1533-position model. The record is from RNAcentral.